AACGAACGCUGGCGGCAUGCCUAACACAUGCAAGUCGAACGAGACCUUCGGGUCUAGUGGCGCACGGGUGCGUAACGCGUGGGAACCUGCCCUUAGGUUCGGAAUAACUCCCCGAAAGGGGUGCUAAUACCGGAUAAUGUCUUCGUACCAAAGAUUUAUCGCCUUUGGAUGGGCCCGCGUUGGAUUAGCUAGUUGGUAGGGUAGAGGCCUACCAAGGCGACGAUCCAUAGCUGGUCUGCGAGGGUGAUCGGCCACACUGGGACUGAGACACGGCCCAGACCCCUACGGGCGGCGGGAGGGGGGAGUGGUGAAAAAUGGACAGAGGGCAGAGGCAGCAACGCCGAGGGCGGGAUGACGGAGUAGGGGUUGUGGGUCGCAAACAGCAUGUGCGAGGCUUGUGAUGACGGUACCUGGAGAAGAAGCACCGGCUAACUACGUG
This 439-nucleotide ribosomal RNA is filed under the name uncultured bacterium. RNAcentral describes it as "partial 16S ribosomal RNA". It matches the Rfam family "Bacterial small subunit ribosomal RNA", at positions 29 to 507 of the family's 1533-position model. The record is from RNAcentral.